Molecule: ribosomal RNA, 926 nt
Filed under: Coprobacillus sp. AF13-4LB
Lineage: Bacteria; Bacillati; Bacillota; Erysipelotrichia; Erysipelotrichales; Coprobacillaceae
Description: bacterial SSU rRNA
Rfam family: Bacterial small subunit ribosomal RNA
Source: RNAcentral
AAUGGAGAGUUUGAUCCUGGCUCAGGAUGAACGCUGGCGGCGUGCCUAAUACAUGCAAGUCGAACGCUUCACUUCGGUGAAGAGUGGCGAACGGGUGAGUAAUACAUAAGUAACCUGGCAUCUACAGGGGGAUAACUGAUGGAAACGUCAGCUAAGACCGCAUAGGUGUAGAGAUCGCAUGAACUCUAUAUGAAAAGUGCUACGGGACUGGUAGAUGAUGGACUUAUGGCGCAUUAGCUGGUUGGUAGGGUAACGGCCUACCAAGGCGACGAUGCGUAGCCGACCUGAGAGGGUGACCGGCCACACUGGGACUGAGACACGGCCCAGACUCCUACGGGAGGCAGCAGUAGGGAAUUUUCGGCAAUGGGGGAAACCCUGACCGAGCAACGCCGCGUGAAGGAAGAAGUAAUUCGUUAUGUAAACUUCUGUCAUAGAGGAAGAACGGUGGAUAUAGGGAAUGAUAUCCAAGUGACGGUACUCUAUAAGAAAGCCACGGCUAACUACGUGCCAGCAGCCGCGGUAAUACGUAGGUGGCGAGCGUUAUCCGGAAUUAUUGGGCGUAAAGAGGGAGCAGGCGGCACUAAGGGUCUGUGGUGAAAGAUCGAAGCUUAACUUCGGUAAGCCAUGGAAACCGUAGAGCUAGAGUGUGUGAGAGGAUCGUGGAAUUCCAUGUGUAGCGGUGAAAUGCGUAGAUAUAUGGAGGAACACCAGUGGCGAAGGCGACGAUCUGGCGCAUAACUGACGCUCAGUCCCGAAAGCGUGGGGAGCAAAUAGGAUUAGAUACCCUAGUAGUCCACGCCGUAAACGAUGAGUACUAAGUGUUGGGAGUCAAAUCUCAGUGCUGCAGUUAACGCAAUAAGUACUCCGCCUGAGUAGUACGUUCGCAAGAAUGAAACUCAAAGGAAUUGACGGGGGCCCGCACAAGC